Molecule: ribosomal RNA, 497 nt
Filed under: uncultured bacterium
Lineage: Bacteria
Description: partial 16S ribosomal RNA
Rfam family: Bacterial small subunit ribosomal RNA
Source: RNAcentral
GAUGAACGCUGGCGGCGUGCCUAAUACAUGCAAGUCGAGCGAACAGACGAGGAGCUUGCUCCUCUGACGUUAGCGGCGGACGGGUGAGUAACACGUGGAUCACCUACCUAUAAUACUGGGAUAACUUCGGGAAACCGGAGCUAAUACCGGAUAAUAUAUUGAACCGCAUGGUUCAAUAGUGAAAGACGGUUUUGCUGUCACUUAUAGCUGGAUCCGCGCCGCAUUAGCUAGUUGGUAAGGUAACGGCUUACCAAGGCAACGAUGCGUAGCCGACCUGAGAGGGUGAUCGGCCACACUGGAACUGAGACACGGUCCAGACUCCUACGGGAGGCAGCAGUAGGGAAUCUUCGGCAAUGGGCGAAAGCCUGACGGAGCAACGCCGCGUGAGUGAUGAAGGUCUUCGGAUCGUAAAACUCUGUUAUUAGGGAAGAACAAAUGUGUAAGUAACUAUGCACGUCUUGACGGUACCUAAUCAGAAAGCCACGGCUAACUACGUG